GUCUCUGUGACUUUCCCCUACAACACAUCAGCCACUAAAGAGCUCAGAAAGUCAGCUCCAGGACAAGGUGCCUUCCUUUUUUUCUGUUUUGCAAGGACAAAUCUGACAGAAAUGUAGAACCCGCGUAGGCAUUUACGCAGCCCAUGCAGCAGGGAAAGCCUUCAGCCCUGCCAUGAAGGAUAGACUUGACGACAACAUCCACUAUACAGAUGAGCCCUCAAAUUAGUGCAGGAGCCUCGAGGCCUCAGGCUCGGAGGAGAGAGGCGUCCACCGCUCUGCCUCUGCCACCGGCCACGCCGCCAGGGGCAUCCAUCACAGACAAAAAGAGACAGGAGGUUUCAUGCUACAAGUCUGGAUAAGGAGACGAGACAGGAAUUGCCAAAGGCACAACAUAAUGGAUCCACGCUGACUUUCAGGAACAAAUGACAAGGUCUACCCAGAAAACUCUUCUUCUGAAAGGCAGCUUGGACUUUAAAGCUGUUGACCUAAUGCUGUGGCUGAUGAAAGUAUUUCCAUGAAGGGAUGCAGCCAGAAUCAGAUUUGCUUUUAAGACUUUGACCUCUCAAUGGUCACGCUUGAGCUUUCUAUCUCCGUCUUAUUUAUCUAUGUUGAGAAUGAGUUUAAUGUUUUGAAAUGUUGGUGUUGGGGGAAUGUUGAUAGAAUUCUUUUACAGAGAGACAAUGGCCCACAUGUAAGAAAUAUUUGCUUUAUCACUAGUUCGGUUAUUAACUAGAUUUGGGAAAAUGGAGCCUUUUGGGGUGGGAGGUCCUUUUUUUGUCUCUACUGUUUGUUUUAAAAUAGUC
Nyctereutes procyonoides (raccoon dog) is the source of this 803-nucleotide long non-coding RNA. RefSeq lists it as uncharacterized. The transcript has 3 exons. Lineage: Eukaryota; Metazoa; Chordata; Mammalia; Carnivora; Canidae. The record is from RefSeq and is a predicted model, not a curated record.